Molecule: long non-coding RNA, 5020 nt
Filed under: Sus scrofa (pig)
Lineage: Eukaryota; Metazoa; Chordata; Mammalia; Artiodactyla; Suidae
Description: lncRNA (ENSSSCG00055023268.1)
Source: RNAcentral
UUACUAUUUAGUAUUAUCUAUUACAUUUCAAUUUCUCUUUAAAAAUUAGCAUAUUAAAAUUGUGUAUAUUAUGAAACUAAAAUUUAUAAAGAAGAAAGCCUUAUAUACCAUUAAAUAUUUUAUAUAGCAUAAUAAAAAGAAUAGCUUAACUGGUAAGAAUAACAAAAAUAAUACACCCUCUGAAAAUAAGUAAAGUAUAAAUUGCAUAAAUUGGUUAAAAAAUAGUGUAAUUAUAUAAAUAUAUCUUCAAAAUUUGUUACAUCUUAUUGAUUCUUCAAUACAGGCAUUACACCAUUCUAGGUGAUGUGAUAAACAAGACAUUAUAGACCUUACAUCAUACCAUGGAGAGAAAUGGUUAUUAAUAAAACAAUUGCAGAACUGUAUCAUUUAAUUGUACAGUUGCAUUAUUUAAUUGUAAUUAUCAUAAAUUCUUUGAUGGAAAAGAAAUCAGAAUCAGAUCUAAGAAGACCUCAGCAUUCCAAGAAUGAUGUCAAAUGAUUGUUUUAUAGUUGUUGGUCUCUUAAUUGCAAGUACAUCUCCAGUGUCCUGCAUUUGUACCCACCUCUUCUCAUGAUUUUUGAUUUUGGUGGUAUAAUUGUGCAUGGAUGAUUUUGUAUCUUUACUGUAUAUAUACCUUUACCGGUGAGCCUUGUCAUUUGUGGCAUUUUUGUUCCCUGUUGCGGGCUUUUCUUUUCUGCCUAGAGAAGUUCCUUUAGUAGUUGUUGUCAGGCUGGUUUAGUGUUGCUGAAUUCUCUUAACUUUUGCUUAUCUGUAAAGGUUGUGAUUUCUCCUUCAAAUCUGAAUGAGAGCCUUGCUGGGUAGAAUAAUCUUGGUUGGAGGUUUUUUCCUUUCAUCACAUUAAGUAUAUCAUGCCACUCCCUUCUGGCCUGCAGAGUUUCUGCUGAAAAAUCUGCCCAUAAUCUUAUUGGGGUUCCCUUGUAUGUUAUUUCUUUUCCCUAGCUGCUUUCAAGAUUUUCUCUUUGUCUUUAAUUUUGGUUAGUUUGAUUAAUAUGUGUCUCGGUGUAUUCCUCCUUGGGUUUAUUUUAUAUGGUACUCGUUGUGUUUUUUGGAUUUGAGUGAGUGGUUCCAUUCCCAUGUUAGGGAAGUUUUCGGCUAUUAUCUCUUGGAAUCUUUUUUCUGUCCCCUUCUCUCUCUCUUCUCCUUCUGGCACCCCUAUAAUACGGAUGUUGGUGCGACUCUCUUCAUUUGUUUUCAGUCUUUUUUCUCUUUUCUGUUCUCUGUGACUCUCUUCAUUUGUUUUCAAUCUCUUUCUCUUUUCUGUUCUGCAUCCAUAAUUUCCACUAAUCUGUCCUCCACCUCACCUAUUCCUUCUUCUGCCUCCUGUAUUCUGCUGUUAGCUGCUUCUAGUGAAUGUUUUAUUUCAGUUAUUAUAUUUUGCAUCUCUUCUUGUUUAAGUUUUAUAUCUUGUAUCUCUUUGGUCAGUGUUUCCUGUAAGUUAUCCAUCUUUGCCUCCAGUUUAUUUCCAAUGUCUUGCAUUAUCUUCAGCAUCAACAAUCUAAAUCUUUUUCCUGGAUGCUGAUAAUCUCAUCGCUUAGCUGACUUUCUGGGGUUUUUUCUUUCUCCCUCAUCUGAGUUAUAGUUCUCUGUCUUUUCAUUUUGAUAGGUUUUUGGUGUGGUGACCUUUUUACAGAUACUAGAGUUGUAGCCUCUCUUACUUCUGAUGUCUGCCCCCCAUUGUGGCUGAAGUGAGUAUGGGGGCUUGCUGUAGGCUUCCUGAUGGGAGGGGCUUAUGCCUGCCCACUGGUUUGUGGAGCUGAUUCUAAUCCCUCUGGUGGGUGGGGCUUAGCCUCUGGAUGGGAUUAGAGGCAACUGUGUGCCUGAGGGGGUCUUUAGGUAGCCUGUUUACUGAGGGGCGGGGAUGUGAUCCCACCUGGAUUGUUGUUUGCCCUGGGGCUUCUCAGCAUUGACUGAUGAAUGGGGCCAGAUUUUCCCAAAAUGGUCACCUCCAGAGACAGGCACCCUGCUGAAUAUUCCCGAGAGCUUUGCUUUCAAUGUCCAUCCCUCACAACAAGCCACAUUCACCCCCGUUUUCCCAGGAUGUCUUCCAAGAACCCAGAUUCCUAUGGAGACCUUGCUCUGCCCUGGGAAACAGUGCACAUGAAAGUCCAUGUGCGCCUUUUAAGAAUGGUAUCUCUGUUUCCCUGAGCCCUGUGGAACUCCUGCACACAAGCCCCACUGGCCUUCAAUGCCAGAUGCUCCGGUGGCUCUUUCUCCCAGUGCCAGAUCCCCACACAUGAGGGUUUGAUGUGCGGCUCAGAACUCUCACUCCUGUAGGUGAGUCUCUGUGAACCAGUUCGUUUUCAGUCUGUGGAGCUUCCCACCCCAAUGGUGUGGGGUUGUUUAUAUCAUGAAAUCGCCCCUCCUACCUCUUGAUGUGCCCUCCUCUUUUUCUUCUGGAGUAGGGUAUCUUUUUUAAGGUUUCUAGUCCAUUUGGGUGGAGAUUGCUCAGCCUUUAGUUGUGAAUUUUGGUGUUUUUUUAGGAGAGAAUUUGAGCUCCAGUCCUUCUAUUCUGCCAUCUUAAUCCUCUCUGCAAUAAUAUUAUAUGUUUUAAGACUUUAUGGUUUUGAGACAUAUAAAUAUACAUAUAUACACACAAUACAAUAUAUAUGUGUAUAUAAAUGUAUAUUAUAUAUUAAUACAUAUACAUGCAUAUAUUGCAUGUAUACCUGUAUGCUUCUCUCUAUAUAUAAUGGUAUAUCUAUGUAUUAUAAAUGUAAUAUAUACAUAUACAAUUGAAUAUAUAUACAUAUGAUUGUAUAUAUGUAUAUAUUGAUAUACAUGCAUAUAUGUGUUUAUAGAUGUAUAUAUAUUAUAUGAUGGUAUAUAGAUGUAUAUAAUGGUAAAUAGAGUUGUGAAUAUAUGUGUGUGUGUGUGUAUGUGUGUCUGUGUCUAUUCAUAUAGAUGUAUAGAUACAGAUAACAUUUGUGCUCUAUAGUACUUCCAAGGCUCUUGCACAAGUGGUUUUCAACUGGGGGCAAUUUGGCCUCCCAGGGGACAGUUUGUCACAACUGAGGAUGAGUGGUUACUACUGGCGUCUAAUGGCUAGUAGCCAGGGAUGCUGCUAAACAUGCUAUUAUACACAGAGUUUUCUGGCCAAAAUGACAAUCACAUCAAGGUAGAAAAACCUUGUGUUAUAGGUUUCUUUGCAAAUAAUGCUACAAUAGAGUACCUUCCAGUGUGCCCUGUGUCUCCAACAUUAGAUCAAUAUGACUGCACAUUUGCUUUUAGGCUAUAUCCUGCAUACAGCUGAUAAUCACUUAUAUCAAUUAACAUAACUUUUUACAAGUAGUACUCAGGAAAGACAGUAGCUGAUGAUUUGGCAUUAGGCUCCACCAUCUUAUCAGGGAUAGAAAGCUGCAUAGAAUUCCUUCAUCUACCACUGAAGAGACCACCUUGGGGAAAAACAUUAAUCAUUAGGACGAUGCAAUAGUGCUGCUUUCUGCUUCAUGUAUUGUGCUCAUAAUUAUGACUCCUUUCUUUGACAAUAAGGUUAAAAAUAUUAAGCAAGCUCAAUUGAGAACAUAUUUGUUCCUUCUCCUAGUGAGCGAGGCUUUAACAAUUACUUGAUUGAAGAUCUGAGCUGUAGGUAGCUAUAAUUUUGCAGACUCGUUAUAUUAUUUCUGCCUUACUUAAGUGUUGACUCAUUUUGUACUGUCUGAGAGCUGAAAAGAAAUCAUUAGGGAAAGGCUAAAAAUAUCUUUGCAUUUCCCUUCUAUUGCUUCAAUUUUAUUUCUCUGAUGUCUGCUCAAAAUCAUAUUCAAUACAUAUAAGGAAUCUUGAAAUCUUUCAAAAGAAGGGAAACUCUUCCUCUUUUCCCCUAGUGCUCUCAGGGUGGUGUCAUUUGAUAAUAUAAACGAGUAGGUUUAAUACUCAAUCAUUUCCCAAAUCUAAUUUGACUGCUGAAUGAGGUUUAAUUUACAUGAUGAUAUAAUUUCUCACACCAGAAAGCAUAGCAAUGCUUACUUUUUUUUCUGAGGUUAAUGGUGAUCUAGCUUAAAGCCUAAAAUAUAAUUACAAAGAAUAUGCUUCAGGUGACAAAGGUAGUUUUGACAAUGACAGACUAUUGAUAGCUUUUUAAUUAUACUUCUUUCUACCAUAAGAGACUAUAUGCUUUCUGCCUCAUAGUUAAAAGGCCUGCUGUUAUGUUUUUAAAAUUAAUUUCCAUCAUAAUUUAAACUUUUAACCUACCGAUGAUACUCCAGGUGACUGAAACCUCACCCCACCAUUCUACAACCCUGAAAUUAUAUUCACUGAAAUUUGGGGCUAUUUUCUUGGUUCAUGAAAUAUAAAAGAGUACCUAUCAAGAAAUAUAUAAAUAUUAAUUGACUCUCUUUUCAUCUUUUUCACUUAAUAUUUUGUGACAUUGAACAAUUUUUUAAAUUCAAAUUUGUUUUGUUUUGUUUUUAGGUGAGAGUUCAUCACUAGAAAAAGGUAUAAUGUAAGAAGAGGUGAAUAAUCUAUGAUUUAGCAAAUUAGAAUUAAUGGGAAAACAAUAAAAAGUAGAAAAAAUGUAUUUUAUGCAGAAUCACUUAUUCUUCGGUAUGUACCUAGAUAUUUUGCUAAAUAUAUUUUAUAAAAUAAUAGAAAAUAUUUUAAAUGCCAAAAUAAUUAUUAUUGUCUUUAUCUUUAAGGCUAAAUUAAUCAAAAAUUAAUUUUUUUUCAAAUUAGGUAAGCCUGGUUAUUUAUUUUGAUAUGAAUUUAGUUCCAGUAUUUUUAUUGUAUGCUUGAUUUACAUUACUAUGUUGGUUUCAGGUGUACAACAUAGUGAUUCAGUAUUUUUAUAGAUUUACGCCAUUUAAGUUUUUAUGUAUUAACAGCUAUAUUUCCUUGUAUUGUACAAUGAAUCUUUGCUGUUUAUUUAUUUUAUACCUGGUAGUUUGUCCUAACAUUUUUAAGUUGAUAUUAUUCACACAAAAUCAAACAGCCACAUGAAAGCUGAAGAUUUUAGUCACAUAUCCAGAUGUUUGACUAUAUUAAAUCAGUUUUUACUUUGGGUUUU